Long non-coding RNA from Rhincodon typus (whale shark), 687 nucleotides. RefSeq lists it as uncharacterized. The record is from RefSeq and is a predicted model, not a curated record. The transcript has 3 exons. Lineage: Eukaryota; Metazoa; Chordata; Chondrichthyes; Orectolobiformes; Rhincodontidae.
CUGUUUUUACGCAGAUCCCCCUCCUCAACAGGAUCACACUGGGACUGUUAUCUGUGCUGUCGGUGUAAUUGUAGGAGCUGUCGGAUUUGUCAUCGGUCUGUACCUGGUUAUAAAGAUACGCAGUCGACAGGGUGCGCCGUCUCCAAGCCUGUCCUGUAAAGAAUAACUGCAUCGGAGACUGGAAGGAGGCGUGAGAAAGAUCAGUCCACGUUGGGAGAAGAGAAAGUGACUGUUUUCACCUGCAGGACGUUUCUGCUUUUUUCUGUUUAACAGAAUGCAGGAUCUGCCAUUAAUCAAGGGUCAUCAAUGGUUAUACAGUCAGAGUCACGCAACACAAAAACAGGUCCUUUGGCCCAACUCAUCUACGCCAUCCAGACAUCCUAAGUUAAACUAGUCCCAUUUGCCAGCAUUUGGCCCAUAUCCCUCUCAAUCCUUCCUAUUCAUAUCCCCAUCCAGAUGCCUUUUAAAUGUUGUAAUUGUACCAGCCCCCACCACUUCCUCUGGCAGCUCAUUCUAUACACACACCACCCACUGCGUGAAAAAGUUGCCCCUCCGGUGCCUUUCCCCUUUCCCCUUAAACCCAUGCACCUCUAGUUUUGGACUCCCCUACCCUGGAGAAAAGACUUUGACUAUUCACCCUUUCCAUGCCCCUCAUGAUUUUACAAAUUUCUAUAAUGUCACCCCAUC